ACUGCUCAGUAACACGUGGAUAACCUGCCCUUGGGUCUGGGAUAACCCCGGGAAACUGGGGAUAAUACCGGAUAACGCAUAUGUGCUGGAAUGCUUUAUGCGUAAAACGGAUUCGUCCGCCCAAGGAUGGGUCUGCGGCCUAUCAGGUAGUAGUGGGUGUAGCGUACCUACUAGCCUACGACGGGUACGGGUUGUGAGAGCAAGAGCCCGGAGAUGGAUUCUGAGACAUGAAUCCAGGCCCUACGGGGCGCAGCAGGCGCGAAAACUUUACAAUGCGGGAAACCGUGAUAAGGGAACACCGAGUGCCAGCAUCAUAUGCUGGCUGUCCAGAUGUGUAAACUACAUCUGUUAGCAAGGGCCGGGCAAGACCGGUGCCAGCCGCCGCGGUAACACCGGCGGCCCGAGUGGUGACCGUUAUUAUUGGGUCUAAAGGGUCCGUAGCCGGUUUGGUCAGUCCUCCGGGAAAUCUGAUAGCUUAACUAUUAGGCUUUCGGGGGAUACUGCCAGGCUUGGAACCGGGAGAGGUAAGAGGUACUACAGGGGUAGGAGUGAAAUCUUGUAAUCCCUGUGAGACCACCUGUGGCGAAGGCGUCUUACCAGAACGGGUUCGACGGUGAGGGACGAAAGCUGGGGGCACGAACCGGAUUAGGUACCCGGGUAGUCCCAGCCGUAAACUAUGCUCGCUAGGUGUCAGGCAUGGCGCGACCGUGUCUGGUGCCGCAGGGAAGCCGUGAAGCGAGCCACCUGGGAAGUACGGCCGCAAGGCUGAAACUUAAAGGAAUUGGCGGGGGAGCAC
RNAcentral lists this ribosomal RNA (796 nucleotides) under uncultured archaeon. RNAcentral describes it as "bacterial SSU rRNA". It matches the Rfam family "Archaeal small subunit ribosomal RNA", at positions 85 to 879 of the family's 1478-position model. The record is from RNAcentral.